This is a long non-coding RNA of Anopheles funestus (African malaria mosquito), 1766 nucleotides long. RefSeq lists it as uncharacterized. The transcript has 2 exons. The record is from RefSeq and is a predicted model, not a curated record. NCBI's taxonomy places the organism in Eukaryota, Metazoa, Arthropoda, Insecta, Diptera, Culicidae.
UAUCAAUGUUUGUUUUCGCGUUGUCUUUUGCUCUUCCCUCUCCGUUGACGUUCCUGCUGAACUAAAAGGCUGUCGAUCGUCCCAUAACCCGCGUGUGUGUUGAUCGUAGCUAAGUAAAGUAAACGACACACCAUACAUGGAAGAGAACACAGGCAAAGAGCAAAACGUGGAUCACAUCCUCUGCUCAGUUUGUUAGGUUUUAAAUAAAGAUUUAAUUGUGAUUUAUGAUUACCAAAGUCAAAGAUUGUGCGUUCGCUUACUGCUACGUUUACUUCUUCCAGGUUGCUUGCAGGUGUGAUGGUUAAAUCGACUAAUGAGACCGAACAGGGGAGAGCGUAACUAAUACUAGAACAUGCAAAAGGAGAGAAAAGGAUACACUGAUUGCCAAAUUUAGAAUAGAGAGCGCUUGUGCAUCGUGGUAAGAGAAUUACUGUCACGGGUGAGAGCAGGCAUGGAAAAAAUAGUAUGUGCAAAAUACGCACACUUAUGCAGAAUCAUGUGGAUAGCUAAAGACGUCACGAUAGCAAAUGGCGAAAAUAAUCUUCAAUCGAAAAAUAGCAAUAUUAUGAAGAAAAAAUUCAUUUCCACGACGUACCGACGUCACAGCAUCACAUUCAUCUGAUUGUAUAAAAUCAUUCCGAUGGGGAAUGAGGUUGCUGUCAGUGCCAAAUAGAACAAUCGAUACAAUCGAGUGCCAACAGCCAAAAACGUGGUGCAUCUGAACACCUUGCCCCAAACAUUAGGUUAGAGAGAAUUGAAAAACUGUGCGAAAAGCGUGUCCCUCCCGAGAGAUAAUUUUCCGCACCUUUUCUUCAACUCGGUGAUAAAAAAAGCGCGUUAAAAACCGUUUUUUAAUGGAAUCUGUAUUGAAUUAUGUGCGAUCAACGCCACAGAUUGCCCGAUUGCACCGAUUGAAUUCUUUAUGGAGAAUAAAUAACUCAACGCAACGUCGUUCAGCGUCCCCUCGAUGGAGAGAAUCACGCUGCGAUCGGUUUUCUUUCCACUAAACUAAAUAUUGAUUCCCUAGACACGAUUCUGUCAAUCGGACGAUGAGUACGCCGGAAUGGAAAAUAGGUUUUGUUUAGGUAGUAGACGAUAAGGCAAGAAAACAAAACAAAACAAAAACACCCAUCCUAUCGGCCACAUCCGCCAAACAGCUGUGACCGCUACAAAGGAUGGUCACUUUGUUUCAUACUUUAAGGCACUUUGGGAAAAAAUAAGCAAAAUCAUAAAUAAAAUAAUAGAAACACUUGCCUUUAGUCCGAUGCUUCACAAAAAGGGCUCUUCGCUUCUACCCACACUUCCCAACCAUCAUUCGUGUGACGUGUAUUGAAAUUAAUGAUCGUUGUCAAAACAUAGAAUGAAAUUUCAAGAUCAUUUCAGCCUUCCCCGAGUGGCAGCACGGAUGUGAUAGCGAUGCUUGAAACCAGAUGCUGAUAAGUGGAACAGAAUCAUCAACGUCAUCGUCAUCAUUAUAAUACACCGUAACCGUGCCAGGCCGUCUUAUGCCGGGAAGGGUGGAACAUGAUUUGCACGAGAUUUGGAGCAUUGAUUGGUGUUAAACUUUUGCUAACAUGUUCCCUUAUCGACCGUUUGGAUCGUUCGUUUGAUUUUGAUUCGUUACGGUGAAAAAUGAUGCUGGAAAAGUGGUGCAAUUACUGAAAACAUUCUAGUUGUAAAAAUUUAUCGCACAUGUGUUUUUUUUUAGUACACGAUCGGAUGUACGUUAUAAUUGAUAAAAAAUCACUCUUUUUCAAUCGUUAUAA